ACCUGUAGAAGCAAGAACCAAAUCAGAGGGUAAACUAGACAAGCUAGCGGAGUUGGAGGCCACCGGAAGUUCUCUCAUCCGAGACGGAGAGACUCUGAGAGAAGACGCGCAGGAUGUCUCUGGUGGACUAUGCUUCCUCUUCGGAGGACGAAGCUCCCGAUUUCGUUGAAGAGCCCCAACUUCCUCAGGACAAGCCACCAGCACAGGCCUCAGCCUCGACAUCGGAACCUCCACCUCCUCGGACGCAGAGUAACGUUGUUACAGAAGACAUAAGCAAGCUAUUUGUCGAGAAGCCCAGCAAGCCUUCAUCAGCUCACUAAAGAUCACAUAAUGAUGAGUGACUAACUUUCGGGUCAGCUACACACGUGGUACUGUUAACUUUGGAAGGGCUUGUUAAUCUGUAUUUCGUACUCUGGUUCAUGGGCUACUUUGUGGUUAUUUACACCCUUGGGCUUUUCUGAACCUUUGUAGGAGAAGAAAUUGAUCUAUAAUGUGUAUGAAACUAGUGGGAGGAACAUGUAUUUUUUUCAGUGAGAUGGAUAUGAAUUUUGUGCGGGUUUCGUCUUUUAA
Molecule: long non-coding RNA, 570 nt
Organism: Prosopis cineraria
Lineage: Eukaryota; Viridiplantae; Streptophyta; Magnoliopsida; Fabales; Fabaceae
Exons: 2
Source: RefSeq, a predicted model, not a curated record